AGACCAUUUAUCCAUCCGUCCAACGUAGGCUGGUGCCGUAUCUUAGCUACAGUGAACGGCGCUGCAACAAACACGGGUGUGGAGACAUCUCUUCGACAUAUUGAUUUCAAAUCUUUCAGGUAAACACCCAGAAGUAGGAUUGCUGGACCAUAUGGUAAUCAGUAACAGACCCAGGAAGCUACACAAUGGCAGGAAUAGAUGACACUAGAAGAUGAAACUCCUUCCUAAAGGAAGCAGAACUGGAAGAGCACUAUUUGGGGAGAACCCUGGGAAUAGAUCCAAGGCGGCUUGUUUGGAAACCCAGAAAAAAUAGGGGAGUUGUGAGAAAUUAUCCCCUAAUUACUAAGGAGCUGUUAACAGAUGAAGUCAAUCUACAUUUGCUGAUGCGGAAACUUAUCCAAGAUAUACUGGCAGAACACAUGUACUACUGCUGUUAUAACUAAACAAGAAAUACUCAGGCUUUAAAUAAACAGAAGAAACUGAAAGCAGGAUAGGUACAAGGUUUUAAAGAAUUGUUCCAUUCAAUAAGAAGGAAAGAAACAAAAACAGGGCAAAAAAUGCUCUUACAUGCACAAAGAAACAACUGAAAACAAAAGUACCUUCAAAUGAAACAUGGAGACAGCUUUGGCUUUUUGCUGAGACCCUAAACUUGGUGCUUUCAAAUGUAUUACGGGCAGAAUGAAAGCUGCAAAGUACCAUUUCCAGAACUGGGAGCUUUUUCAGUUUGUUGGGUGAUUUCUAGUUAAGAUUGAAGCUGGAGUGCUGGGAACAAAAGGCAUCAAAAAGCAAACAGGGGGAAUCUGAACAUGAAUGAGGUGAGGGGACAGCCAUGAUGGCAUCACCACAGGCGAAGCAGGAGUCCAGGGCACAGUGGUGCUUCAUGUCUAGCGUCCACCUGAAGAAUGGCGGCCUACACUGGGUCCCCAAAUAGUCACUGUGUUUCAGAGCACACCCAGAUGGCAUCACGAUGGCUCCACUGAAAACACUGCUCAAAACCGGAGAUUCACUUCUAACAUGAGGUUAUAGAAAAAUACAUAUUUAAGACAUUUUCAAAGGAGGAGGAGAACUGGAGAAAUGCAGCGACGUGUUCAAGCUCCAUGGAUGAAUUCAAGGCUUCUCCCCAUGGGUGCUCUCAGCCCACCAUGUUGCCGGUCUUCUGAUUCUAUUUGCAGAUAAAUGCUAAAGGCAUAGGAUUUCAAAUAGGGGUAGCCAGAAAGUAUUGGGCAAUAAGUCAGCUUGUGGUUACCUGUCUGAGCGAGAGAUGCCAGGCAUAAGGCUGAGGGCUUGGGCCCUAGAGCCAGAGAGUGUGCAUUUGGGGCUCAGCUCCUUUUCCCCACAUGGGAAAGUUUCUUAACUUUCCUGCCUAUCCUGAGGGACCACAGGGGUACGACAAUGACGGUAGUGGUAAGGGGUCUCAAUGUGACAGGGUUGCUACAGAACUAAGGGAGAUAGUAAAGCACUCAGAACAGCACCCAGUACGACUCAAAUUUAUAUGCCUAUGACUCUGAACACACCAACCAAGUCUGCUAAAUGGUCCAUUCCUUGAGGUUGGUCAACUGGUAUGUAGAAAACACUCGAUGAGAUACUUGUUUUAGUUUUUCUUCUUUGCUAUUCAUUCAAUCUUAAAGGAUGAUGUAGGAAGAGAAAAGAACAAGUGAGCACCUACCGGUAUGUCCCAGAACUGAGCUGGACUUCUAUAAAUACAGUAGAACUUUCUCCUCACAUUUGCUGUGUGAGUUGAUAUUACCCAGAUUAAUAGACAAAGUCUGGGAAGGUUCUGGAACUACUUAAGGUUGUAAAGCUGACAGUGUGUGGGCAGACUGGGUCUUUAAUCCCAGGUCAAUGAGAACAGAGCCUGGACACCUCCCACCCCAUAUUCCCUCCACAGAAUUUUUUUUUACGCAAGGAUAACUUUUCUUAAGUAACUUUUCUUCUAUUAAAAAAAAAAGAAGAAGAAGAAAGAAAGAAAGAAGAAAGGAAGGAAGAAGGAAGGAAGGAAGAAGGAAGAAGGAAGGAAGACGGAAGGAAGAAGGAAGAAGAAGAAGCCAAAACUCUUCAACGGUUUUUCAUCCCUUGCCUGAAGGAUAGAUUUACGCAUUUGCAUGUGCCCAGGGCCCUCAUCAGUUUAAACCAAACCAGGGCCAGCACUCCCUGUACACCUGCAGACAAACCCUCCCCUGCAAUCCACGGAGACCCACCCUGUUUCCACCCUCUUCUUCCCAAAUCUCUACUUUCCCUCUGUCAUCCAAACCCACACUGCUGCCUCCUCCAUCCGGGCUCGGGGCUAACACCCCUUUGCUCGCUGGCCCUUCUGAGGCCAGACACUCUCUGGCGUUAAUUCACUGGGUGCCCCCUGUCCAGUCCCUCCACCCCACCACAAAGGCCGCUGGCGAGAGGCUUUGGAAGCACAGGACACAUGAACCCAGACAGUUACCGCACAGGUGCUUCUGCGGGGUGGAGGCAUGGAAAACGAAAAUCACACUGCACCUAAGUCACCUCACGAAGAGUCAAAGUAACCAUGAUGCUUACGAUGGUGUGCUAGUUCCCGUCAAGCCUAAUGUUGUCACCCAAUUAGAAUAAAUUGAUUUCCUUCAUAAUGGGCUCUGUCUCCACGUUAAUUUGACUGCAUGCGCUCUAGGGGAGGAUUCAUGCCUGGAGAAAAGGUGGGGCAGGGCGAGGAGGCCCACAGGAAAGACCCGAUGCCGUGACGGGCAGCAGGAGGGUGCACAGCUGCACACGACAGCAAUGCACGGCUUAUAAAAAAUAAGCACGAAACAGGAAAACCAAGAAGGGCAAAGGAAUUGUGCAGUUCCUCCUAGCAUCAAAACCUUUUAGGCAAAUGCCUACCGAGUCUUAUCCAUUCACAGCUCUGUUACGGAGCAAGAAAGUUGAGAAUAAGGCAUGAACUUAAAAGAAAGGAACUUAAAAUCAAGAUGACUGCCUGAGACAUGUUGCACAACUGAUAUAAAAACAAAUCUGAAAGUACAAUUAUACCCUAUUGCAAGGAUUUAAAUAGUUAAGUGGUCCGGUUUAGUGCCUGCUUUAUUUCCAGAAAUCAAUAAGUAAAAUAAACCUGUUAGCCAGGACUCCAUCAGGUGCUAUGAGCCCAGUUUUGUGCAAGAUGGAUAAAAUAAUCCAUGUGCCUUUAUUUGCAAGUAUUUUCCAUUCUUUUCAAAAACAACGACAAAGCCAGCAUGCAAGCUUUUUCCCAACUAACUCCUCUUAUUUCCACACCUCAUAACUAUUCAAGGGAUGAAAGAAAAAAGACUCCUUAUCAAAGGCCUGCCACAUAUUUUGAAUGUUGUACAAUGAGAAACGUCCAUUAACGUGAGAGCUCACCCCCAUCCACAAGUGUUAGUUUUAAUUACAAGUGAUCCUGUGUAUCAGGCCCUGCUGGAGAGACCAGUCGCAGAGGCUCCGAGAAUUUCCCGGAUCGUGCAUUUGAAUUCACUACAAUGCUUUGUCACUGGGGGUUUCAGCGUUCAGUAAUAAUGUGCUUUGUUCUCAAAAAUGCCCCCCACACCUGCCAACUGAAAAGAAAGCCAAGGAGACCCUUGCAGGCUGGUGUGCAAUCACGCUGCCCCCCAGUGGGCACUGCCGGUACAGCAGCCCUAAAGAAGGGCAGAGCAAAUGGGGAAUCAGCACCUCUGCAUCAGGCCGGCAGUUUGGAAAGCACCUGUCAUCAGUGAGUUGAAGGAGCAAGAGAAACAAAAACAGAAGUGAACCUAAGAGAAAAACCAAGUGAUCUCUUCUACAACUUCCAUGCACAUCAAAUAAUUAAGUUUGCAGGCGUGAAAUAUAUUCAAAAGCCAGGUAUACAAGCAUGUUUACACAGUACUUAAAACUUUUACAUAGGAAAAGCUGAGGCAAAAACAACUCUGUAUCUGCAAGUGUACACAUAAACAAGACACACGGACUGUGCACCCGCCAUUCUUACAGUGGAGAAAACUGACAAUUCAGUCCACAGAAUAUAAUGGCUGUGAUAGUCUGGUAGACAAAAGAAUAACCAAAAGAUAAUUUGGACAUUGUGGAGAGUGGACUAAAGGAGGCUGUGUGAUUCUCCACUUCAAAUGCAAUCAUUUCCCAGGAUUCACAGCAAGGAAAGAAAUACCUGAGAUUUCAGAAAAAUUAAAAAUUCACAGUAAGUCAUGAAGCCACCAAUAAGAAACUGCCAUGCUUUCUUCUUGGUUACACAUCAAAAAUUAAACAUUUUCCCCUAAAUUCCUAAGUACUGAGAUUUCCUUUAUAUAACUCAAAUUCAAGGAGGAGAGGCAAAGUAGGGAUCCAGCCAUGUGUCAGUAACAGUCCCCAAUUAGCUAAACCAUGCUAAGUAGCUAACUGCAAAAUGUUCAGUACAUCUAGGUAGCAGGAAACAGCAAUAUCUUCUGUGACACCUUACAAAUGCUAUUAUGACACCUAUGAUAACUUUCAUGACAACAUUCUAAAAUAAAAUGUAACUAUUUCCACAUCACACUCAGACCCAUUUCCUCUGGGAAGUGCAGGCGCAGGCUCACUCAGCUGCCAGCAAGGAUGCUCACUCACAAACUGGCAGUGCCCUCUGCUGGACAGUCCAUGAAUCACACCCAAACAAGAAAAGUACUGCUUUCCAUUUCUGGGUAUUUUGAAAUAAAAAUACCACAAAACAGCUCAACUAUUUAUCCUUAAUAUAGUCCCUUCAACCUGUCUGGCAAAACCACGUAAAAAUCUUAUGCUUUCAGCAGGCUUGCUCUGAUGUGUAAAUCAGUUCUAAAUUGAGUUCAAUCCUCCACAAACAUUCUUUGUCUUUGUUACUAUAUACGUAUGAUUUAUAGUUCUCUCUCUGGGGAAAUAAAAUUAAGUUCUUUCACAAUUCUUAGAAGAGAAAUAUGAAAUACGGCUCUAUGAAGUUAUUUCAAAGAUGACUUCUAACUAGGCCUAGGAUCCUCAUGCCAUUAGCAUAAUGUCUAAAAUUUCCUCUGUUCUCAAAUUCAUUCUAAUCUAUGAAAGAAGAUAUGAGUAGGCAUGAAGAUGUAUAAAGAUGAUACCAAAUUACACCUGGGUGCAGUGGCUCACACCUGUAAUCCCAGCACUUUGGGAGGCCUAGGCAGAUGGAUCACCUGAGGUCAGGAGUUCAAGACCAGCCUGACCAACAUGGUGAAACCCCAUCUCUACUAAAAAUACAAAAAUUAGCCAGGCAUGGUGGCACGUGACUGUAAUCCCAGCUACUCGGGAGGCUGAGGUAGGAGAAUCCCUUGAACACAGGAGGCAAAGGUUGCUGUGAGCAAAAGAGCAAGACUCUGUCUCAAAAAAAUAAAAAUAAAAGUAAAAAAAAAAUAAAAUACAUAGGAAAACACAAGGAAAAAAAACACGUUUUUAAACAAACAGGAAUGAAGCAUUUCAUGCCCUAGGGCACAUCCCCGUUAGUGUGGUGGAGGAUGAGAAUCAAAUCUCAGCUUUACCACUCACUAAUGGUCUUGAGGCUCACAUCUUAUUAAAUUACAAAACACGGAAAACAGACUGGGCACUGUACCUCACACCUCUAAUGCCACCACUUUGCGAGGCCAAAGCAGGAGGACUGCUAGAGGCCAGGAGCUCAAGACCAGCCCGGGCAACAGAGCAAUACCCCAUUUCUACAAAACAUUUAAAGAAUAAAAAAUUAGCUGGUGGUACAUGCUUGUACCUGUAGUCCCAGCUACUUGGGAGGCUGAGGUGGGAGAACUGCUUGAGGCCAGGAGAUCAAGGCUGCAGUGAGCUAUAAUUGCAACACUGCACUCCAGCCUCGGUAACAGAGUAAGACACACACACACACACACACCACACACACACAGUAAAAGAGCAGAUACCUCGCAGAGUGUUAUGAGAAUCCAUUUAUGUGAAGCACCUAGCACAUGGGUUAUAUUCAUUAAACACCAUGUUACAUACAAACAUAGAUAAAAGACAGACAUGCCCUUAAUUUCUCUCCAUAAAACCUCCCAAGAUUCUAUAUUCAGAACAGAAGAAAAUACCAAUCCCUCUGACUAGCAGUCUCAGUCUUCCUCUUGUACAACUGAAGAAAGAACAAGCGAGGCUACAGCAAUGAGGGUGGAGUGCACCAUGACACAGUGAGGCCCACAGCAACUGCACAGCACACCUGCCCCAUCCCUGGGCCUGGAGGCUGCAGGCGUGAAUCCUACAAGAGCAAAGGGUCUGGGCACCCUGAAACGUUCUUUAAAAGAUUCUAAUACUCAGUGAAGCUGGAACUGAAAAUCAUAUGCACCUUUUAAAAGGCAUUUUUGGCUGGGCACCGUGGCUCACACCUGUAAUACCAGUACUUUGGGAGGCCAAGGCAGGCAGAUCACCUGAGGUCAGGAGUUUGAAAUCAGCCUGUCUAACAUGGUGAAACCCUGUCUCUACUAAAAAUACAAAAAUUAGCUGGGCGUGGUGGCAUGCACCUAUAGUCCCAGCUACUCAGGGGGCCUGUCUAACAUGGUGAAACCCUCUCUAUACUAAAAAUACAAAAAUUAGCUGGGCAUGGUGGCAUGCGCCUAUAGUCCCAGCUACUCAGGGGGCUGAAGCACGAGUUUGCUUGAAACCGGGAGGUGGAGGCUGUGGUGAGCCAAGAAAGCGCCACUGUA
Molecule: long non-coding RNA, 6593 nt
Filed under: Homo sapiens (human)
Lineage: Eukaryota; Metazoa; Chordata; Mammalia; Primates; Hominidae
Description: HSALNT0161209
Source: RNAcentral